UCGGUGUUUUAGUUUAUCCCGCA
This 23-nucleotide non-coding RNA is filed under the name Arabidopsis thaliana (thale cress). Lineage: Eukaryota; Viridiplantae; Streptophyta; Magnoliopsida; Brassicales; Brassicaceae. The record is from RNAcentral.